GAGGAAAGAAAAGGAAAAGACGGGGGACGGGAUUGGAGACACCCGAGAGUUCUCGCGUUCCUUCUUCCUUACUUGUCCUGACUUAUUUCUUUCUUUCCUUUCUUUCUUUUUCUUUCUCG
Molecule: non-coding RNA, 119 nt
Filed under: Chromera velia
Lineage: Eukaryota; Chromeraceae
Source: RNAcentral